RNAcentral lists this ribosomal RNA (441 nucleotides) under Triticum aestivum (bread wheat). Its description in RNAcentral is "partial small subunit ribosomal RNA". Lineage: Eukaryota; Viridiplantae; Streptophyta; Magnoliopsida; Poales; Poaceae. The record is from RNAcentral.
AUGCAACAUCACAGUUCUUCAAAUGAACUAGGUGAGAAGUACAAGUGUGCCGAAAGGUUGGGCAUCAAGAUUGUUAAUCACCGUUGGUUGGAGGAUUGCUUAAAGUCAUGGAAAAUCCUACCAGAAGAUGAUUAUAGCGAGAGUGGCUGGGAAGUAGGGAUAGUGGAGGCGCAAGCCAAGGAACGCCUCAAGUUCCCGAUUCCGGAUCGCCUCAAGUUUGCAAAUGGGAAGUAUGCCGUGAAUAAAGCGAAGAAGAUAAGCAGCAAGGUGCUCGCCGCAGCCCUGGCGCUCCUAAACCGCGCCCAUCCGGAGGUGGGCACCGACUUCUUGGCGUGCCAUGAUCUUCCUCCCGACACCCAGGACCAGACCGCCAAGUACGCCAAGGUCGCGAAAGCCUUUGUUGACUCGUGCUUUAGCAAGCUCGAAGCAGACGAAGCCUGA